Molecule: long non-coding RNA, 2274 nt
Organism: Gasterosteus aculeatus aculeatus (three-spined stickleback)
Lineage: Eukaryota; Metazoa; Chordata; Actinopteri; Perciformes; Gasterosteidae
Source: Ensembl
AGGAUUGAGUCCUCCCUCGAGAGCUUCCGAAACCUUAACAGUUGGCGCCCAACGUGGGGCUCUCGUUGGGGGAAGGCGUUGCUGAGAGGUUUGACUGCAAGUACCACGGGUACAAACAAGGUAAAACAAACUUUUUCAUGAAUUCUGUGAUAGGUAGGUUUAGGAAGAUUUAGAGUGGUGCUGGCAGUCGGCCAUGAGGCAAGGCCUUAGAUGCUAAAGACUAAAGGCUAGUACAUUAAUGACUUGGGUGAAUAUAAUAAGCUGAUAUUGAAUAACAGUGGGGGCAUACUUUUGCAAAGUGAAUGCGAAUGGGAGCCGGCUUUUAGAAAUUCCAAACACGCGCGUUUGGUGCGUUCAGGUACACACUUAGAGCGUUAGAAAAAUCCAGGCGGCGAACUGGUCUGCUGAGACAUAAAGACCAGCAGGAUAAAAUCAUACAAGUAGACCCGUAUGGGAUUGGUUAGGGGGUUCGCAUGAGGUGUGACGAUGCGCAUGUUGUCCACUAGGUUUCCCACAAUAAUUACGGCGUCUUUAGAGAAGACUCUUCUCUUCAUUUCCCCUCUCUGUGCAUAAAGUCCUUCACAAUUAGGUAUUGCAGGAUUUAAUAGAUUGGGGGGGGGGAGCUUGCUCUACGGGAUUGGCUUACGCGAUAAUCCAGCGGCGACUGGUUAAGGUUAUGGUUAAAGGUAAUCCAGCGGCGACUGGUUAAGGUUAUGGUUAAAGUUAUAAUCCAGCGGCGACUGGUGGAGGUUAUAGUAAAGGAGAAAUCCAGCGGCGACUGGUAAGAUCUGCUUAACAUUUUCCACCCUCUAGAAAUCCUAUGAAUUAGGUAUAUAGGUUGUCUAGAAGGGGGUGGGUGGCGGAUAUGCGCUUUAGUGUAAAUGAUAGUGUAUAUACAUCUGCAUGUGGUGUGAGUGUGAGUGAGUGUUAGUACGUGGUGCGUGAGUGUUUGAGUUGCGGGGUGCAUGUGCUUGAUUGAUGUAUGGAUGUUCCAAAUUAUGUUUUAAUACGUGUAUGUGAUUGUUUAACAGUGUAUAUAUAUGUAUAGAAUCCGAACUGGAGACUGAUCAUCUCCGGCGUCGGGUUGUAAAACCGUAGCAUAUUAAGGUGUUGGUGAGUAGUCCAACCCGGACCACGUGAGGCUGCCUUGCUAGCGGCUAACGGGGUCUCAUUGGUAAUUCCACUGGGGAAAUAGCGGGGCUUGCGGGUGCUGAUAGCUUGACCACGUUGUGGGUUAGCAGUUAGCUUGAGCCCAUUGUUCUUUGCUACGCCGGCACACGGCGUUUUACGAUCCAUGACCGGAAGCGUCGAGGCACUUCCUCUUUGGUAGUUCUGUGUUCGAUCUUCAGCUAUCGGCUGAACAGCGCCUCAUGUGGUUGGAGUAAGUGCACAUCGUGAGGGGAAAGCCCCUGAGUGUGCCAUGUGGUGGGUGUAAGAGGGAAUUACAAGAGGGGGAGUUCAAUUUCUUCACUUGCCGUGUUCGGACGUUGACUUUGAUGCACAUUUGCCUUUGCUUAUUAGGAAAGAGUUAAGGUCGAUAAGAUAACUUGACGGAUAUCUGGAUUGGUGUUGACGUUUAAUUGAAAUAGUAAAGUGCUGUAUUGUUACGUUGAAUAUGGUUUGUAAUAGUCCUGCAUUUGUUUUGGAUUGAAAUUGGAGGUUGACUUAAUUUUGAUGUGGUGCUUUUGAGAAGCUGUUAUGAAUUGUUUGAUUUCGAUCUCCAAUGUUUAGCUGAAACCAGAUUGACUGUCAUUGCAUUGUCUCUGGGUUGGGGGUGGAUCAUUGUUUAUAUUGUGGUAUAAUCUCUGGCGACAUUUGUGGGGGAGUGCUUCUGCUAUACUUCCUGAUUAAUAUUGCCGGCAGUUUGACUGUAUCAUCAUAACUUUGAAUAAUUUUGUAACCUUGAUUAAUAAUUUGGAGUAAUUCAUUUUUAGACAUCAAGAUUAACUUUAUUGAAGUUUAAUUUUUAGACUUUUGAAUUUGAAUGAAGAUUGAGUUUUGAUUUGAGAUAUAGUUAAUUCUUUCUCUUUUUCCUCUAUUUAAUUGUAAUCAUAGUCUUUGGCAUUGAUCAUUGAUUAUACUAAUUUUUACAGUUCCGUGAUUGAUUUGAUUUUGAGGUUAGAGGUACUGAUAAGUUGAUUUAACCUAGUGGUCUAACAAGAUAGUUUUAGUAAUUACACAGCAGUUAUUGAACUGAUUUGAUGUUGUAAAUUGUCCUCCUUACUUUUUAGAUUUGGUUAUUUGUUUUACUGUAUCGAUUCUGGUCGAUGGUUC